CCUACGGGGGGCAGCAGUGGGGAAUAUUGGACAAUGGGCGAAAGCCUGAUCCAGCCAUGCCGCGUGUGUGAAGAAGGCCUUCGGGUUGUAAAGCACUUUCAGUGGGGAAGAAAGCCUUGGGGCUAAUACCCUCGAGGAAGGACAUCACCCACAGAAGAAGCACCGGCUAACUCCGUGCCAGCAGCCGCGGUAAUACGGAGGGUGCGAGCGUUAAUCGGAAUUACUGGGCGUAAAGCGCGCGUAGGCGGUCUGAUAAGCCGGUUGUGAAAGCCCCGGGCUCAUCCUGGGAACGGCAUCCGGAACUGUCAGGCUAGAGUGCAGGAGAGGAAGGUAGAAUUCCCGGUGUAGCGGUGAAAUGCGUAGAGAUCGGGAGGAAUACCAGUGGCGAAGGCGGCCUUCUGGACUGACACUGACGCUGAGGUGCGAAAGCGUGGGUAGCAAACAGGAUUAGAUACCCCAGUAGUC
RNAcentral lists this ribosomal RNA (465 nucleotides) under Vreelandella stevensii. Its description in RNAcentral is "partial 16S ribosomal RNA". It matches the Rfam family "Bacterial small subunit ribosomal RNA", at positions 338 to 795 of the family's 1533-position model. The record is from RNAcentral. Lineage: Bacteria; Pseudomonadati; Pseudomonadota; Gammaproteobacteria; Oceanospirillales; Halomonadaceae.